This 2900-nucleotide ribosomal RNA is filed under the name Klebsiella pneumoniae. Its description in RNAcentral is "23S ribosomal RNA". It matches the Rfam family "Bacterial large subunit ribosomal RNA". Lineage: Bacteria; Pseudomonadati; Pseudomonadota; Gammaproteobacteria; Enterobacterales; Enterobacteriaceae. RNAcentral also lists the same sequence under 7 other names. The record is from RNAcentral.
UUAAGCGACUAAGCGUACACGGUGGAUGCCCUGGCAGUCAGAGGCGAUGAAGGACGUGCUAAUCUGCGAAAAGCGUCGGUAAGGUGAUAUGAACCGUUAUAACCGGCGAUGUCCGAAUGGGGAAACCCAGUGCAAUUCGUUGCACUAUCGUUAACUGAAUACAUAGGUUAACGAGGCGAACCGGGGGAACUGAAACAUCUAAGUACCCCGAGGAAAAGAAAUCAACCGAGAUUCCCCCAGUAGCGGCGAGCGAACGGGGAGCAGCCCAGAGUCUGAAUCAGCUUGUGUGUUAGUGGAACGGUCUGGAAAGUCCGACGGUACAGGGUGAUAGUCCCGUACACCAAAAUGCACAGGCUGUGAACUCGAAGAGUAGGGCGGGACACGUGGUAUCCUGUCUGAAUAUGGGGGGACCAUCCUCCAAGGCUAAAUACUCCUGACUGACCGAUAGUGAACCAGUACCGUGAGGGAAAGGCGAAAAGAACCCCGGCGAGGGGAGUGAAAAAGAACCUGAAACCGUGUACGUACAAGCAGUGGGAGCACCUUCGGGUGUGACUGCGUACCUUUUGUAUAAUGGGUCAGCGACUUAUAUUCUGUAGCAAGGUUAACCGUAUAGGGGAGCCGCAGGGAAACCGAGUCUUAACUGGGCGUUAAGUUGCAGGGUAUAGACCCGAAACCCGGUGAUCUAGCCAUGGGCAGGUUGAAGGUUGGGUAACACUAACUGGAGGACCGAACCGACUAAUGUUGAAAAAUUAGCGGAUGACUUGUGGCUGGGGGUGAAAGGCCAAUCAAACCGGGAGAUAGCUGGUUCUCCCCGAAAGCUAUUUAGGUAGCGCCUCGUGAACUCAUCUUCGGGGGUAGAGCACUGUUUCGGCUAGGGGGUCAUCCCGACUUACCAACCCGAUGCAAACUACGAAUACCGAAGAAUGUUAUCACGGGAGACACACGGCGGGUGCUAACGUCCGUCGUGAAGAGGGAAACAACCCAGACCGCCAGCUAAGGUCCCAAAGUCAUGGUUAAGUGGGAAACGAUGUGGGAAGGCACAGACAGCCAGGAUGUUGGCUUAGAAGCAGCCAUCAUUUAAAGAAAGCGUAAUAGCUCACUGGUCGAGUCGGCCUGCGCGGAAGAUGUAACGGGGCUAAACCAUGCACCGAAGCUGCGGCAGCGACACUAUGUGUUGUUGGGUAGGGGAGCGUUCUGUAAGCCUGCGAAGGUGUGCUGUGAGGCAUGCUGGAGGUAUCAGAAGUGCGAAUGCUGACAUAAGUAACGAUAAAGCGGGUGAAAAGCCCGCUCGCCGGAAGACCAAGGGUUCCUGUCCAACGUUAAUCGGGGCAGGGUGAGUCGACCCCUAAGGCGAGGCCGAAAGGCGUAGUCGAUGGGAAACAGGUUAAUAUUCCUGUACUUGGUGUUACUGCGAAGGGGGGACGGAGAAGGCUAUGUUAGCCGGGCGACGGUUGUCCCGGUUUAAGCAUGUAGGCUGAUUGUCCAGGCAAAUCCGGAUAAUCAAGGCUGAGGUGUGAUGACGAGGCACUACGGUGCUGAAGUAACAAAUGCCCUGCUUCCAGGAAAAGCCUCUAAGCAUCAGGUAACAUCAAAUCGUACCCCAAACCGACACAGGUGGUCAGGUAGAGAAUACCAAGGCGCUUGAGAGAACUCGGGUGAAGGAACUAGGCAAAAUGGUGCCGUAACUUCGGGAGAAGGCACGCUGGUGUGUAGGUGAAGUCCCUGCGGAUGGAGCUGAGACCAGUCGAAGAUACCAGCUGGCUGCAACUGUUUAUUAAAAACACAGCACUGUGCAAACACGAAAGUGGACGUAUACGGUGUGACGCCUGCCCGGUGCCGGAAGGUUAAUUGAUGGGGUUAUCCGUAAGGAGAAGCUCUUGAUCGAAGCCCCGGUAAACGGCGGCCGUAACUAUAACGGUCCUAAGGUAGCGAAAUUCCUUGUCGGGUAAGUUCCGACCUGCACGAAUGGCGUAAUGAUGGCCAGGCUGUCUCCACCCGAGACUCAGUGAAAUUGAACUCGCUGUGAAGAUGCAGUGUACCCGCGGCAAGACGGAAAGACCCCGUGAACCUUUACUAUAGCUUGACACUGAACAUUGAGCCUUGAUGUGUAGGAUAGGUGGGAGGCUUUGAAGCGUGGACGCCAGUCUGCGUGGAGCCAACCUUGAAAUACCACCCUUUAAUGUUUGAUGUUCUAACGUUGGCCCCUGACCGGGGUUGCGGACAGUGUCUGGUGGGUAGUUUGACUGGGGCGGUCUCCUCCCAAAGCGUAACGGAGGAGCACGAAGGUUAGCUAAUCCUGGUCGGACAUCAGGAGGUUAGUGCAAUGGCAUAAGCUAGCUUGACUGCGAGCGUGACGGCGCGAGCAGGUGCGAAAGCAGGUCAUAGUGAUCCGGUGGUUCUGAAUGGAAGGGCCAUCGCUCAACGGAUAAAAGGUACUCCGGGGAUAACAGGCUGAUACCGCCCAAGAGUUCAUAUCGACGGCGGUGUUUGGCACCUCGAUGUCGGCUCAUCACAUCCUGGGGCUGAAGUAGGUCCCAAGGGUAUGGCUGUUCGCCAUUUAAAGUGGUACGCGAGCUGGGUUUAGAACGUCGUGAGACAGUUCGGUCCCUAUCUGCCGUGGGCGCUGGAGAAUUGAGGGGGGCUGCUCCUAGUACGAGAGGACCGGAGUGGACGCAUCACUGGUGUUCGGGUUGUCAUGCCAAUGGCACUGCCCGGUAGCUAAAUGCGGAAGAGAUAAGUGCUGAAAGCAUCUAAGCACGAAACUUGCCCCGAGAUGAGUUCUCCCUGAGACUAUAAGUCUCCUGAAGGAACGUUAAAGACGAUGACGUUGAUAGGCCGGGUGUGUAAGCGCAGCGAUGCGUUGAGCUAACCGGUACUAAUGAACCGUGAGGCUUAACCUU